Molecule: non-coding RNA, 190 nt
Filed under: uncultured eukaryote
Lineage: Eukaryota
Source: RNAcentral
AUGGUUUUUUUUUUUCUCUCUCUCUUUUUUCUCUCUUUUUUCUCUUUUUCUCUUUUUCCUCUGUUUUUUUAGCUCAUUUUCAGGUACACACAUCAUUUAAAAAAGUGCAGGCGAUCAAAACAGAGCCCGGAUUAAUAAAGGCGCACCUUUUUUUAUAGCUCUUUUUCAAGUACACGCAUCAUUUAAAAAA